AUCUGAAACCCUCUUUCCCUCUAUCUUCCCCAAAGCUCUUCCCUCUUUCCCUCUAUCUUCCUUCUUUUCCCUCUAUCUUCCCCGAGCUCUAUCUUCCCUCUUUCCCUCUAUCUUCCUUUUUUCCCCUUCUUUUCCCUCUAUCUUCCCCGAAGCUCUCUUCUCCGAAGCCCUCUUUCUCUCUCUCUCACUACUGUGUUGCCUCUGCCAGGCCCGAACGACCAUCAUCCCAUCGCCGGAGCAGUACACGCGCCAGCCCAAUCGAACCGUCGGCCCUCGAAACGUCGACCCCCUUGAGCUCACCACGACACGCGUUUCCCAGGGCUGUCGACCAACGGUCCGAAGCCGUCUGCCUUUUGUGUUGCUAUAUGUUUGUUGGCUCUUGUAUUUCCAUUUUUAGUUUGAUUAACUUCCAAUCUACAGAGAGAUGCUUUUGCUCAUACAACUAAGAAGAGGUGUUGGUUUCUUUCUUCUGACAACAUAAAGUCUUUUGUUUGUAUGGCUUUUAGAUGUCCAAGAAGAGCAAUAGGUGAGCAAGAAGCAAGGAACAGUCAUUUUUUUAAGAUGGUACUCCAUCAAUAAGUGGAGGACGGUCCAAUAUUCUUCAUCUUUCAAAGCUUGCUAUUGAUUAAAAGAGGUCUAUAUUGAGAUGCAUUUCUUUGGCGCAAUACUAGACAACAUUGACAGUUGAAGUUUUUAGAAUAAAAAAUAUAUUUCACUAACAUUGUAUACAUUUCUUGUUUAAUAUUUGGUGAUGAUAAAAUUUGAUUGUAGUAUAAACUAUCAUGUAAUAUGAUUUUGUAAGCCGAGUAGACUAAAUACUGAAAUGAUAUUUUUGAGUAAUUAAUAAAAAAUUAUUUUGUUGUA
Long non-coding RNA from Humulus lupulus (European hop), 864 nucleotides. RefSeq lists it as uncharacterized. The record is from RefSeq and is a predicted model, not a curated record. Lineage: Eukaryota; Viridiplantae; Streptophyta; Magnoliopsida; Rosales; Cannabaceae. The transcript is spliced from 4 exons.